This 83-nucleotide transfer RNA is filed under the name Pterocles gutturalis (yellow-throated sandgrouse). It matches the Rfam family "tRNA". Rfam says of the family: Transfer RNA (tRNA) molecules are approximately 80 nucleotides in length. The record is from Rfam by way of RNAcentral. Lineage: Eukaryota; Metazoa; Chordata; Aves; Pterocliformes; Pteroclidae.
GUCAGGAUGGCCGAGCGGUCUAAGGCGCUGCGUACAGGACGCAGACUCCCCUGGAUGCGUGGGUUCGAAUCCCACUUCUGACA